CAGAGUUCUCGCCCGUCCGGGUAGAUCUCCCACCCACUGUGAUUGCUACCGUGUUGCUUUGGCGGGCUGCUGGGCCUAGCCCGGCCGCCGGCUCCGGCUGGCGCGCCCGCCAGAGGCCCGACAAAUUCUGAUUGUCAGUGUCGUCUGAGUACUAUAUCUUAAUAGUUA
RNAcentral lists this unclassified non-coding RNA (168 nucleotides) under uncultured Oidiodendron. RNAcentral describes it as "sequence contains ITS1". Lineage: Eukaryota; Fungi; Ascomycota; Leotiomycetes; Myxotrichaceae. The record is from RNAcentral.